AGCCCCUUAGCCCAACGGCAGAGGCACUUGCCUUAGGAACAAGUUAGUGUCAGUUCGAAUCUGACAGGGGUUAC
Molecule: transfer RNA, 74 nt
Filed under: Emticicia aquatilis
Lineage: Bacteria; Pseudomonadati; Bacteroidota; Cytophagia; Cytophagales; Leadbetterellaceae
Description: tRNA-Leu
Rfam family: tRNA
About the family: Transfer RNA (tRNA) molecules are approximately 80 nucleotides in length. Their secondary structure includes four short double-helical elements and three loops (D, anti-codon, and T loops). Further hydrogen bonds mediate the characteristic L-shaped molecular structure. tRNAs have two regions of fundamental functional importance: the anti-codon, which is responsible for specific mRNA codon recognition, and the 3' end, to which the tRNAs corresponding amino acid is attached (by aminoacyl-tRNA synthetases). tRNAs cope with the degeneracy of the genetic code in two manners: having more than one tRNA (with a specific anti-codon) for a particular amino acid; and 'wobble' base-pairing, i.e. permitting non-standard base-pairing at the 3rd anti-codon position.
Source: RNAcentral